AUGGAGUGUUACAGUCAUUGAUAUUGUAUCUAUGUAUAGACACCACCACAGUCGGACAAUAAUAACAAAUAAAAAUUGCAUUAUGGGAGAGUAAAAUACUUCUAAUCUAUGGCAUCAUACAUUUACCAAUUGUGUUUUAAGUCAUUGAAUAAAUUAAAAUGUUUAAUUUUCAGAUUAUACUUACAAAUGAAUGCCCAAGAGUACGCCCAGCAAGACUUUAAGUUGAUGACAACAUUCCCAAAGAAGAUCUUCACUUCUGAGGAUUAUGAAAAACCUCUUGAAUCGUUGGGUUUGGUUCCAUCAGCAGUAAUUAUUGUGUCGAAGGGCCAAUAGCCUUAAUUUUAAGUUAAUUAUACCCGUGACGGGCUGGGAUUUUAUUAUUCGUGUUGGCAUAUGGCACAAAGUUAAAAUUAAUGUAAUAUUUGAAGACUCAUUAAAAAUAAAAUUUGCGUAUGGUAA
Long non-coding RNA from Ostrinia furnacalis (Asian corn borer), 459 nucleotides. RefSeq lists it as uncharacterized. NCBI's taxonomy places the organism in Eukaryota, Metazoa, Arthropoda, Insecta, Lepidoptera, Crambidae. The record is from RefSeq and is a predicted model, not a curated record. The transcript has 2 exons.